Molecule: ribosomal RNA, 497 nt
Filed under: uncultured bacterium
Lineage: Bacteria
Description: partial 16S ribosomal RNA
Rfam family: Bacterial small subunit ribosomal RNA
Source: RNAcentral
GAUGAACGCUGGCGGCGUGCCUAAUACAUGCAAGUCGAGCGAACAGAUGAGGAGCUUGCUCCUCUGACGUUAGCGGCGGACGGGUGAGUAAAACGUGGAUAACCUACCUAUAAGACUGGGAUAACUUCGGGAACCCGGAGCUAAUACCGGAUAAUAUAUUGAACCGCAUGGUUCAAUAGUGAAAGACGGUUUUGCUGUCACUUAUAGAUGGAUCCGCGCCGCAUUAACUAGUUGGUAAGGUAACGGCUUACCAAGGCACCGAUGCGUAGCCGACCUGAGAGGGUGAUCGGCCACACUGGAACUGAGACACGGUCCAGACUCCUACGGGAGGCAGCAGUAGGGAAUCUUCCGCAAUGGGCGAAAGCCUGACGGAGCAACGCCGCGUGAGUGAUGAAGGUCUUCGGAUCGUAAAACUCUGUUAUUAGGGAAGAACAAAUGUGUAAGUAACUAUGCACGUCUUGACGGUACCUAAUCAGAAAGCCACGGCUAACUACGUG